UACGUAGGUCCCGAGCGUUGUCCGGAUUUAUUGGGCGUAAAGCGAGCGCAGGUGGUUUAUUAAGUCUGGUGUAAAAGGCAGUGGCUCAACCAUUGUAUGCAUUGGAAACUGGCAGACUUGAGUUGGCGAGAAGUACGCGGAAUGCGCGGUGUAGCGGUGAAAUGCAUAGAUAUCGCGCAGAACUCCGAUUGCGAAGGCAGCGUACCGGCGCCAGACUGACGCUGAGGCACGAAAGCGUGGGGAUCGAACAGG
Molecule: ribosomal RNA, 252 nt
Filed under: uncultured bacterium
Lineage: Bacteria
Description: partial 16S ribosomal RNA
Rfam family: Bacterial small subunit ribosomal RNA
Source: RNAcentral